GAUGAACGCUGGCGGCGUGCCUAAUACAUGCAAGUCGAGCGAACAGACGAGGAGCUUGCUCCUCUGACGUUAGCGGCGGACGGGUGAGUAACACGUGGAUAACCUACCUAUAAGACUGGGAUAACUUCGGGAAACCGGAGCUAAUACCGGAUAAUAUAUUGAACCGCAUGGUUCAAUAGUGAAAGACGGUUUUGCUGUCACUUAUAGAUGGAUCCGCGCCGCAUUAGCUAGUUGGUAAGGUAACGGCUUACCAAGGCAACGAUGCGAAGCCGACCUGAGAGGGGGAUCGGCCACACUGGAACUGAGACACGGUCCAGACUCCUACGGGAGGCAGCAGUAGGGAAUCUUCCGCAAUGGGCGAAAGCCUGACGGAGCAACGCCGCGUGAGUGAUGAAGGUCUUCGGAUCGUAAAACUCUGUUAUUAGGGAAGAACAAAUGUGUAAGUAGCUAUGCACGUCUUGACGGUACCUAAUCAGAAAGCCACGGCUAACUACGUG
This 497-nucleotide ribosomal RNA is filed under the name uncultured bacterium. Its description in RNAcentral is "partial 16S ribosomal RNA". It matches the Rfam family "Bacterial small subunit ribosomal RNA", at positions 28 to 507 of the family's 1533-position model. The record is from RNAcentral.